CAAUAGCGUAUAUUAAAGUUGUUGCAGUUAAAAAGCUCGUAGUUGGAUUUGUGGCGUACGGUGUGUUCCGGGCACUUGUUGUCUGAGUAACCUGCUGUUGCCAUCCUUGGGUGGAACCUGUGUGGCAUUAGGUUGUCGUGCAGGGGAUGCCCAUCAUUUACUGUGAAAAAUUAGAGUGUUCAAAGCAGGCUUAUGCCGUUGAAUAUAUUAGCAUGGAAUAAUGAGAUAGGACUUUUUUGCUAUUUUGUUGGUUUGCGCAAAGAGGUAAUGAUUAAUAGGGACAGUUGGGGGUAUUCGUAUUCCAUUGUCAGAGGUGAAAUUCUUGGAUUUUUGGAAGACGAACUACUGCGAAAGCAUUUACCAAGGAUGUUUUCAUUAA
This 379-nucleotide ribosomal RNA is filed under the name uncultured eukaryote. RNAcentral's name for it is "partial 18S ribosomal RNA". It matches the Rfam family "Eukaryotic small subunit ribosomal RNA", at positions 592 to 976 of the family's 1831-position model. The record is from RNAcentral.